This is a long non-coding RNA of Mercenaria mercenaria, 632 nucleotides long. RefSeq lists it as uncharacterized. The record is from RefSeq and is a predicted model, not a curated record. Lineage: Eukaryota; Metazoa; Mollusca; Bivalvia; Venerida; Veneridae. The transcript has 3 exons.
UCUGUCCCUCUUUGGACAGUUACGGACACAAUUCGUGUUUAAGAAUGAUUGCAAUCUAUUAAUAGCGGCCACCCAAUGGAAUGACGUCAUUCGGUAGCAUUCGUUAUUGUUCGGCAAAAACGGAGUUAAGCGCAUGCGCAGUCAAGUGACCUGGCCACGCCGUCGCCAUAUUGGUAGUCCUGAAGCGGAUCUAGACAGCGUUUUCACAACAACUGACACCAUGUCCAAAAGGCAGCCAGAAAGUAGCUCUGCAUGGUAGGAGUCCAUUAAAGAUGUGCCUGAUGAAACCAUUGGAAAUGUCAACAAUGGUAGCAUGGAUGGAAGUGACAGUGAUGUACCUUAAGAAAACAUUUGAAGUGACAAUGAUUGUAAGGUGGAUGAAAGUGGCAAUGAUGUGCCUAUAGAAACCACUGCAAGUGACAACAAUGAUAACAUGGAUGAAAGUGACAAUGAUGGGCCUGAAGAAACCAUUUUAAGUGACAACGAGUGUAACAUGGAUGAAAGUGACAGUGACAGGCCUGAGGAAAAUAUUAUAAGUGAUAAUAAGGGACAACAAUAAUAACAUGGAUGAAAGUGGCAAUGAUGUGCCUGAGGAAAAUAUUGUAAGUGAUAUAACAGUUGUGACGUGGAUG